This is a long non-coding RNA of Rosa rugosa (rugosa rose), 2479 nucleotides long. RefSeq lists it as uncharacterized. Lineage: Eukaryota; Viridiplantae; Streptophyta; Magnoliopsida; Rosales; Rosaceae. The record is from RefSeq and is a predicted model, not a curated record. The transcript is spliced from 3 exons.
UGCAGUCAGUGUAAGAUCAUAUUUAACUAGAUAUAUAAAGCUGGUAUGCACACGAGUUGCAGCAGCAGCAGACAAAGAGAAUGGAGCUAAGUUAUUGGGAUUUAAUAAAACAUUGGUGAUUUAAUUGAGUUGUAAAAUCAUUAAUAAACACUUGAUUAAAGCCAUCUGAUUUGAAUUUAAAUAUUCAAGUUAUGCAUUGAUUAGGAUAAGGGCUUGUCUGAAUAGAUAAGAAGUUAUGAGCAGUUUCCUUGAUGGAAGGAACUGCUGUAAACUGCAAAACAGUUAUAAAACUGUUUAUCAGAUUUGUUGAUUCCCCUGCAAGAACAUAAACGUUUCUCUAUAAAUACAUUCCCAUCAAUGCAAAGAGAACUUAUCGUAUGGAUCUUGGAGAAGGAAUGGACAACACCAACCAAACUGAAUGAUGCUAUUCAAAGAUCUGUAAAACAAGCACACUAUCCAACUGUGGCACCAGGACUCAUUCAAGGGAAAGCAUAUGAGAUCAGAUACUUGGAGUUUCCACUUUUGUAAUAUAUAUACAAACCUGGUAAAAACAACAGCUUUUGAAAUAUAUAAAUGUACAAUAAUUGUAUAAAACUUUAGUAAGCAAACAAACUGCAGCAUCGCGCGGGACUUUUUUUCUAGUUAUAAACAAUCUAGAGAUUUGACAGAUGGAAGUGCUGGUGUUCGAAGUUUUACUGCAGUUAUUUUAUUCGAUCAUGUUGGAUUCAUGUUGAAUCACACUCAUAUUGUAAUCGACAUGAUUCCCUAAAUAUAGAUCUAAUUAAAGUUCAAAUUAAGCUAAAGAUCGAUGGAAGUCGAACUUAUUUACUCCCACACAGCUUUUGAUCCUUGAAGUCGUCAAUGCUGAGAUAUGUCAGCAAAGUAGAGAAAUGCCAUUCAAUAUGUUUGCAAAAUAAAUUUAGCAAGAUUUAGUUAAUAACUCCCGAGUCUUUUGACUCUUUUCACUUUUUUUGUUACAAAUUUCAUGACAAUUUUACCAUUUGAAUUCAAAGUUUUCAUUUGAGCCCAAUUUUAUCUACCUAUCUUUUCAUUGACUUGUUUAAUUCCACUCUUUGGUAAAAGUUCAUUUACUCAUCCCAACUUGAAUUACUUGGCAAUUGGCAUCUAUUGCCCCAACAAAAUUAUUUGAAUUAUUUAGUUUUCCUAAUCAGAAAGAUUAACAAAUUGUGAAAACCAAACAGUCGGGAAAGGCUUGGUCUUGGUUUUUGCUUGACUUUUAGUUUUAGCCGUCUAUUAUAAAUCUAAAGGUGUAUGAGCAAAGAAACAGCAAAUUCAGUACUCUUUAAGUUGGAGCGUAUCAGAAAAUUCCUAAGAAUGUAUAUUUUCUGAAAUCUGAAGUUGUUGAGCAUCAAGAAUGCAUGAUAUACCUCUCUCACAAGGAAUUAAUUUGAAUUGGGUUGGUAGAAAUAGGGUCAUGCAAUGUAUAUGCUUUGCUUUUGAGUAGGGUUUGUAAUGUCUGCGUGUAUCAGAGAAUUCAGAAACUACCGCAUCUGACACUCAAUAUGCAUAUCAUUUCAGUGCACAACAGAUUGGUCAGAUUCAAUGAUUCAUGACCUGGGAAGGACCUCACUUUAAAAGUAGGAGAAACCAAAGCUUUUAUUAGUUACACCAAUACACACACGUGCACAUUUAUGACAUAUCAUAUCACACUAGAGAAAAAUUGUUAUAUUAGUAGUUUGAUUUACAAUAUUACAAUUUCUCAGAACCCCAUUGACCCCAAAGAUCAUAGAGGAUUAAGUCCAAAUAGAGUAAUUAUGUAUAAUUAAGAAGAUUAUGAUAUGUGAUUAUAUAUGUUUAUUACCUUGGAGGAAGGAUCCUGGGCUUCAACAAAUGCUCUCAUGAGACGAGUUUUGGUCAGCUCGACUAAUUCGAUCAUUGCUGUUUUUCAGAGACAAUGGCAGAAUUAAUGUAUAAGAUCUGUGAUAAACAGAGAUGAAGCUAACUAGAAGAGAGCUCAGGAAUGCUGAUGGAUUGGCAAUUGAAAUCGAAAAGUGCAGAUUAAAUAGGACUUGUCCAAAAAGGCUGGAGUCUUUUGAGGCGACCUUUCUCCACUCAAUUAAAUUCUUCUCUGUCAUUUUGCUCCCCAUCAAUUUCAUUUCAAGGGGAGUUGAUGAGCUUCAUUUAAUGGCAUGUAUCCAUCCCAAGCUCGCUGUACUGCACAUAAUUUAGGCCUAUUGUUUGUCACUAUAUUAUUCUUUUUGUGAUCAACUUUAUUGAACCACAAAAUCUAUUUGUUAUUACCUUAGAACUGUUCCGACUCCAACCAAAUUAAAUGUCGGUAAAGGGUGUCAAAUUUUCAAUUACUUAUCUGUAACGUUUCAUAACUUCUCUGGACUAGUCAAGUAGCAUCGUUGUCUUAAUGUAAUAGACUUAUAGCUCUGCCAUUCUCUUGGGUCCUUCUUUCUUCUCAAGAUUGUUAUUAUUAUGCUUUAUAUGAGUGAUACCAUAUAUUAUACUA